AUUGAACGCUAGCGGGAUGCUUUACACAUGCAAGUCGAACGGCAGCGCGGACUUCGGUCUGGCGGCGAGUGGCGAACGGGUGAGUAAUGUAUCGGAACGUGCCCAGUAGCGGGGGAUAACUACGCGAAAGCGUAGCUAAUACCGCAUACGCCCUACGGGGGAAAGCAGGGGAUCGUAAGACCUUGCACUAUUGGAGCGGCCGAUAUCGGAUUAGCUAGUUGGUGAGGUAACGGCUCACCAAGGCGACGAUCCGUAGCUGGUUUGAGAGGACGACCAGCCACACUGGGACUGAGACACGGCCCAGACUCCUACGGGAGGCAGCAGUGGGGAAUUUUGGACAAUGGGGGCAACCCUGAUCCAGCCAUCCCGCGUGUGCGAUGAAGGCCUUCGGGUUGUAAAGCACUUUUGGCAGGAAAGAAACGUCGCAGGCUAAUACCCCGUGGAACUGACGGUACCUGCAGAAUAAGCACCGGCUAACUACGUG
RNAcentral lists this ribosomal RNA (484 nucleotides) under uncultured bacterium. Its description in RNAcentral is "partial 16S ribosomal RNA". It matches the Rfam family "Bacterial small subunit ribosomal RNA", at positions 30 to 507 of the family's 1533-position model. The record is from RNAcentral.